Molecule: transfer RNA, 73 nt
Filed under: Alosa alosa (allis shad)
Lineage: Eukaryota; Metazoa; Chordata; Actinopteri; Clupeiformes; Clupeidae
Description: tRNA-OTHER
Source: RNAcentral
GCAACCGUGGCCUACUGGUUAGGGCUUCAGGCUUGUAACCGAAGGGUUGCUGGUUCGAUCCCCGACCAGUACA